AUUGAACGCUGGCGGCAGGCUUAACACAUGCAAGUCGAGCGGGGGAAGGUAGCUUGCUACCGGACCUAGCGGCGGACGGGUGAGUAAUGCUUAGGAAUCUGCCUAUUAGUGGGGGACAACACCUCGAAAGGGAUGCUAAUACCGCAUACGUCCUACGGGAGAAAGCAGGGGAUCUUCGGACCUUGCGCUAAUCGAUGAGCCUAAGUCGGAUUAGCUAGUUGGUGGGGUAAAGGCCUACCAAGGCGACGAUCUGUAGCGGGUCUGAGAGGAUGAUCCGCCACACUGGGACUGAGACACGGCCCAGACUCCUACGGGAGGCAGCAGUGGGGAAUAUUGGACAAUGGGGGGAACCCUGAUCCAGCCAUGCCGCGUGUGUGAAGAAGGCCUUAUGGUUGUAAAGCACUUUAAGCGAGGAGGAGGCUACUUUAGUUAAUACCUAGAGAUAGUGGACGUUACUCGCAGAAUAAGCACCGGCUAACUCUGUGCCAGCCGCCGCGGUAA
Molecule: ribosomal RNA, 501 nt
Filed under: uncultured bacterium
Lineage: Bacteria
Description: partial 16S ribosomal RNA
Rfam family: Bacterial small subunit ribosomal RNA
Source: RNAcentral